RNAcentral lists this ribosomal RNA (254 nucleotides) under uncultured bacterium. RNAcentral describes it as "partial 16S ribosomal RNA". It matches the Rfam family "Bacterial small subunit ribosomal RNA", at positions 524 to 776 of the family's 1533-position model. The record is from RNAcentral.
CACGUAGGGUGCGAGCGUUGUCCGGAUUUAUUGGGCGUAAAGCGCUCGUAGGCGGUUCUCUAAGUCCGGCGUGAAAACUCUGGGCUCAACUCAGAGACGCCACUUGAUACUGUCGUGACUUGAAUCUGGUAGGGGAGUGUGGAAUUCCCGGUGUAGCGGUGAAAUGCGCAGAUAUCGGGAGGAACACCAGUGGCGAAGGCGGCACUCUGGGCCAGUAUUGACGCUGAGGAGCGAAAGCGUGGGGAGCGAACAGG